UGGGGAAUAUUGCACAAUGGGCGAAAGCCUGAUGCAGCGACGCCGCGUGAACGAUGAAGCCCUUCGGGGUGUAAAGUUCUUUCGACAGGAACGAUAAUGACGGUACCUGGAGAAGAAGCUGCGGCUAACUACGUGCCAGCAGCCGCGGUAAUACGUAGGCAGCGAGCGUUGUUCGGAGUUACUGGGCGUAAAGAGUGCGUAGGCGGCGAGCCAAGUUUGGUGUGAAAUCUCCCGGCUUAACCGGGAGGGUGCGCCGAAAACUGGUUGGCUGGAGUAUGGGAGAGGAAAGCGGAAUUCCUGGUGUAGCGGUGAAAUGCGUAGAUAUCAGGAGGAACACCUGCGGUGUAGACAGCUUUCUGGACCAAAACUGACGCUGAUGCACGAAAGCGUGGGUAGCAAACA
Molecule: ribosomal RNA, 402 nt
Filed under: uncultured bacterium
Lineage: Bacteria
Description: bacterial SSU rRNA
Rfam family: Bacterial small subunit ribosomal RNA
Source: RNAcentral